This 460-nucleotide ribosomal RNA is filed under the name uncultured bacterium. RNAcentral describes it as "partial 16S ribosomal RNA". It matches the Rfam family "Bacterial small subunit ribosomal RNA", at positions 338 to 795 of the family's 1533-position model. The record is from RNAcentral.
CCUACGGGAGGCAGCAGUGAGGAAUAUUGGUCAAUGGACGGAAGUCUGAACCAGCCAUGCCGCGUGCAGGAAGACGGCUCUCUGAGUUGUAAACUGCUUUUGUACAAGGGUAAACCUGAAUACGUGUAUUCAGCUGAAAGUACUGCACGAAUAAGGAUCGGCUAACUCCGUGCCAGCAGCCGCGGUAAUACGGAGGAUCCAAGCGUUAUCCGGAUUUAUUGGGUUUAAAGGGUGCGUAGGCGGAUUGAUAAGUUAGAGGUGAAAUGUCCGGGCUUAACUCGGGAACUGCCUCUGAUACUGUUGGUCUAGAGAGUAGAUGCGGUAGGCGGAAUGUAUGGUGUAGCGGUGAAAUGCUUAGAGAUCAUACAGAACACCGAUUGCGAAGGCAGCUUACCAAUCUAUAUCUGACGUUGAGGCACGAAAGCGUGGGGAGCAAACAGGAUUAGAUACCCGGGUAGUC